ACGGGUGAGUAACACGUGGAUAACCUACCUAUAAGACUGGGAUAACUUCGGGAAACCGGAGCUAAUACCGGAUAACAUAUUGAACCGCAUGGUUCAAUAGUGAAAGGCGGCUUUGCUGUCACUUAUAGAUGGAUCCGCGCCGUAUUAGCUAGUUGGUAAGGUAACGGCUUACCAAGGCAACGAUACGUAGCCGACCUGAGAGGGUGAUCGGCCACACUGGAACUGAGACACGGUCCAGACUCCUACGGGAGGCGGCAGUAGGGAAUCUUCCGCAAUGGGCGAAAGCCUGACGGGGCAACGCCGCGUGAGCGAUGAAGGUCUUCGGAUCGUAAAACUCUGUUAUCAGGGAAGAACAAAUGUGUAAGUAACUGUGCACAUCUUGACGGUACCUGAUCAGAAAGCCACGGCUAACUACGUGCCAGCAGCCGCGGUAAUACGUAGGUGGCAAGCGUUAUCCGGGAUUAUUGGGCGUAAAGCGCGCGUAGGCGGUUUUUUAAGUCUGAUGUGAAAGCCCACGGCUCAACCGUGGAGGGUCAUUGGAAACUGGAAAACUUGAGUGCAGAAGAGGAAAGUGGAAUUC
Molecule: ribosomal RNA, 580 nt
Filed under: uncultured bacterium
Lineage: Bacteria
Description: bacterial SSU rRNA
Rfam family: Bacterial small subunit ribosomal RNA
Source: RNAcentral